RNAcentral lists this long non-coding RNA (412 nucleotides) under Bos taurus (domestic cattle). Its description in RNAcentral is "long non-coding RNA NONBTAT001235". The record is from RNAcentral. Lineage: Eukaryota; Metazoa; Chordata; Mammalia; Artiodactyla; Bovidae.
UGGGGCCAAUGAAAGGAGCACCUACUGAGGUAACAGCCAAGCUGUGUUCACAUCCUAUUUCAAAGAGAAUUCAAGGGAAGGGGAGAGAGAAGAAAGGUGUGGGGAGUAGCAAAGGGAGCUGUUUGGAAAGGUAGAAAGAAGCAGGUUUAACACUGGGAAUGAGAGUAUCAAGAGGAUUUCAGGGAGACAGCACUGUUUUCAGGAACUAAUCACUCACUUAUUAACACCUUGAAAGUACACUUUUCCCUCAUGGUAAGUUAUACACUGAGAACUUCCUGUUAAGCCUCACCUUGAAGAGCCCUGGAGCAUCAUCUCUUCAGUGGAGAGAGCAAAAGACCUGGAUCCUAUGUAACUCAGUACGGGAGACUUCUCAUAGGUCUCAAAGUCAAAGCAUAUUGUCAACUUUUCUAAA